This 1535-nucleotide ribosomal RNA is filed under the name Dioscorea alata (purple yam). RNAcentral describes it as "bacterial SSU rRNA". The stretch from base 2 to 922 matches the Rfam family "Eukaryotic small subunit ribosomal RNA", at positions 4 to 1116 of the family's 1831-position model. The record is from RNAcentral. Lineage: Eukaryota; Viridiplantae; Streptophyta; Magnoliopsida; Dioscoreales; Dioscoreaceae.
CCUGGUUGAUCCUGCCAGUGGUCAUAUGCUUGUUUCAAAGAUUAAGCCAUUCAUAUGCAACUAUGAACUAAUUCAGACUGUGAAAGUGUGAAUCGCUCAUUAAAUCAGUUAUAAUUUGUUUGAUGGUACCUGCUACUUGGAUAACCAUAGUAAUUCUAGAGCCAAUACGUGCAACAUUCCCCAACUUCCAGAAUUGAUGCAUUUAUUAGAUAAAAGGCUGACGUGGGCUCACCUUACCGUUCUGAUGAUUCAUGAUAACUCGACGGAUCGCAUGACCCUCGUGCCGGCGACACGUCAUUCAAAUUUUUGCUCUAUCAACUUUCAAUGGUAGGAUAGGGGCCUACCAUGGUGGUGACGGGUGACAGAGAAUUAGGGUUCGAUUCUAGAGAGGGCGCCUGAGAAAUGGCUACCCCAUCCAAGGAAGGCAGUAGGCGUGCAAAUUAUCCAAUCCUGACACGGGGAGGUAUUGACAAUAAAUAACAAUAUCGGGCCCUUCGGGUCUGGUAGUUGGAAUGAGUACAAUCUAAAUUCCUUAACAAGGAUCCAUCGGAGGGCUAGUCUGGUGCCAGCACCCGCGGUAAUUCCAGCUCCAAUAGCGAAUAUUUAAGUUGUUGUAGUUAAAAAGCUCGUAGUCAGACCUUGGGUCGGGCCAGUUGGUCCACCUCCCAGUGUGCACCGGCCAUCCCGUCUCCUAUACCGGUGAUGUGCUCCUAGCCUUAACUGGCCAGGUCUUGCCUCCGACACUGUUACUUUGAAGAAAUUAGAGUGCUCAAAGUUGGCCCACGCUCUAGAUACAUUAGCAUGGGAUAACAUUGCAGGAUUCCUGUCCUAUUUUUUGGCAUUUGCGAUUAGAGUAAUGAUUAAGAAGGUGAUAAACGCCUAAAUGUACAUAUUAUUCAUGUAUUUGUGCGUAUAAUUUUUAUAUGUGUGGAUGCUCGUUUUCGGUUUAAAUUGUUUCUCUGCAUGUUAUAGGUACAAAAGAUGCCUUGGAGAGCUCGACAACAAGAUCUAAGGAGAAAUUGGCAAGAAAACACCAUUUUUGAUCCCCGGGUACUGCAACAAAAAUGUAGCAGCAUUGUAGCACAAAAACUAGAAGAAAUGGCUAAGUCUGGAAUUCCAUGCAGGCAAUUAUCCGGGUGCAUAAAUGGCUGCAUGCAGUCCUAUGGCACUUCACUAUAGCUAUGUUAUUGUAGCACUCCACUGUAGCAACUUACGUGAAAUUCGGGGAGCUACAGUACUGUAUACUGACUGCAUGCCAGGCAACAUGGCAUUCUAAAGCUUACUUUUUAUAGGGUUUUGUGUUCAUUUCUUUGAGAGAAGAAGUCCUAGCUCUUGAGCUUUCUUGCCACCACUGAUAAGUGCUUGUGUUAUAGUAUCGCGAAGCGCUAUUAUCUUACAUUAAGCAUACCUUUUAUCAGAUUUUAUCACUAAAUGUGUGCAUUUGUGUUCUCUUGUGCAUUGAAGGUAUUGUGGAGCCUAAUUGGAGAAGAAGAAUGAAAUUAGGUCGCGUUUGCCAAUGUUGAGAUGUUCUCGGA